GUUAUACAUUGCUUUAUAUUCACUCUCUCUUCAAUGGCCAGUGUGCAUGCAGGUUCCACGGACAUUUAAAACUGGCAACAACAAUUUUCUGACUUAGGAAGAGUGGUGAUCUAUAACAAAGCUUCAUUGAACACUAGCUGCGGGACAUAAUAAUCAGAUUCAGUGUUGUUUCCGGUGGCUCGGCUACUCAUUCUCAGUUGAAGCUCUUUCUCUGUAGCAAGUCUCCUUCCUUUGGCAUUGGGUGGAACUGAGCUUAAAUUCAGCUAUACUCGGGCACAUCUCCUUUGGCAAUACAUAUUUGAUUUCUGAAAUAAAGAAAAAUUUGCUUCAAGCCUUUAGCAAUAUAUGUCCAUGUAAUAUCGGUUCAGGGCAAAUCUUCUUUGGCAAAUUUGAAGUUCCUCCAGUUGGCCAUGCUAGCUGAGGAUGGUUCGACAAUUUUAAGGCCUUGACUUAUAAGAACAGUCAGGAAUACAGACUUUGAGGGCUUAGCUCCAGUUGGUGAUAUUUGACUUGGAAUUUCUACCAGGACCCUUUUUUUGGUCCAUUUUUGGGCAAAUCUCCUUUGGCAUUUUGGAGUCUUGAAUAAGACUCCGUUUAUCCCUUUAGUGGGCAAAUCUCCUUUGGCAUUUAAACUCCAUUUGUGGAGAUAAUAAGACUAUGAAAAUAUUUGGAACAUAAACAGAGAGACUUCACUGUUUGCCCUCGGAUUUUUAUUUUUUUUCCUCUUUUUGGCAAGGCUACUGAUUCCAGUUGCAACUAGAGUUGCAACUUUCUAGUUAUUGUGCAGUCUGGCAGAGGCCUACAUUCCAAAUUACUCAGUCUCGACUAAAGCAUAACCCAAGCGGUACGCCUCUCUACUAUUGUCAUUACUAUUUUAUUAUGCUUCUUUUUGUGUUUAGUUAACUUCAUCAGGAAAACAAUCAUACUUGGUCCAUGCUUCUUUAUGUGAAGCAAUUUGGCUUGAUGAUUGGUGUUGAUUUGGGUCAUUUCAAUUGAACUCUAAUUCUCAUAUUAGUAAAUGAAAUAGCCAACAGUAAUGACACAAUUACCUUAUUCAUGUUCUAGUAAAUGUUAUCUAUUCUCUAGCUUCAACCUAUAAAUGACUUUUAUUUCACUUGCUAAAUUAUAGGGAGAUACUUAGGUCUCUUAGAGACAAACAUUGUAGAGGAAACAUAUUCUUUAGCAAGGCACAAGUGUGAACACUAUUUUGAUGGCAUACUAUUUCUAUUUUAACAAUCUUCGUCUCCCAUACUUCAUCUACAAUUAUUAUAAUUCAUGUUCUAGUAUAUGUUGUCUACACUCAAGCUUCAAUCUACAGAUGAUUGUCAUUUCACUGCUAACUUCUAGGGUGAUAAUUAGGUAUUUUAGAGAGGAAUGUCACAGAGGAUAUACAUUUUUGUGUAAGGCAAGAGUGAGAACAUUAUUUAGAUGCCAUCCUUCUUCUAUUUCAACAAUCUUAGUCUCCUGUACUUCAUUUUUUGGUAAUAAAAUCGUUUGUUUUGAAUUUGCAGAAGUAAAAGUAUAACUAAACAAGUACUAUCUAGUAUCAGCAUUAUGGAUUUGCUAGACAGUGAUUUCGACAGUCUCAGCGAG
RNAcentral lists this long non-coding RNA (1593 nucleotides) under Olea europaea subsp. europaea. Lineage: Eukaryota; Viridiplantae; Streptophyta; Magnoliopsida; Lamiales; Oleaceae. The record is from RNAcentral.